Lolium perenne is the source of this 1651-nucleotide RNA transcript. RefSeq lists it as uncharacterized. The record is from RefSeq and is a predicted model, not a curated record. NCBI's taxonomy places the organism in Eukaryota, Viridiplantae, Streptophyta, Magnoliopsida, Poales, Poaceae.
UUGAUUAGCAUAAUAAUAAUAAUAGACCCAGUCCACCAGCUCACUACCACAAGAUCUCCCGCCUCCGGCGAGCGGCAUGCCUGCGCCACCACCGCCGACUGGCGGGAGGCGGUGGUGGAAGCACCGGCUGAGCCCCACGCUCGCACGGGACCGCUGCUACGCCCGUUCCUUCCGCUCGGCCGGGCUCCGCCAGGCCGCCGUGCCGCUUCCGGACGGCGCCGUCGUCCAUUUCUGGGUCCCGCGCCCCGACCCGGCCCUGCGCCCCGUCCUCCUCCUCCACGGCUUCGGCGCCAACGCCACCUGGCAGUGGGCCCCCUUCCUCCGCCCGCUUCUCGCCGCCGGCCUCGCCCCUUUCGUCCCAGACCUCGUCUUCUUCGGCGACUCCGCCUCCCCUACGGCCGACAGAUCUCCGGCCUACCAGGCCUCCUCCGUCGCCGCCGCCAUGGCUGCUCUCCCCGGCGCGCCUCAAAGGUACACCGUCGUUGGCGUCAGCUACGGUGGCUUCGUGGCCUACCACCUCGCCCACGCAUUCCCGGCCGUGGUAGAGCGGCUCGUGCUCGUCGCGGCAGGUGUGUGCCUUGAGGAAACCGACCUCGCGGCGGGGCUGUUCGCCGUGGAGGAUAUCAAGGAGGCCGCCAGCCUGCUGCUGCCGCAGCGGCCGGAGGAUCUCAGGAGGCUGGUGGGGCUCACCUUCUGCAAACCGCCAAAGUUCAUGCCGUCCUGCUUCAUCAGGGAUUACAUCACGGUUAUGUGCACUGAAAAUGUAAAAGAAAAGACCGAGUUGUUAUAUGCCUUGAUCAGUGGCAGGAAGCUUUCAGACCUUCCUAAAAUUAACCAGCAAACCUUGAUAAUUUGGGGAGAGCAAGAUAGAGUGUUUCCAUUAGAACUUGGCCUACGGCUGCAAAGACAUUUGGGAGAUACAUCGGAAUUAAUCAUCGUCAAGAAUGCUGGCCAUGCCAUAAACCGUGAAAAGCCAGCGGAGCUUUGCAGACUUAUAACAAACUACAUCAUUGAUCCCUCGGUUAAAUACAGGGAUAGUCGCAAGGGAUGUUGGAAGUUUGCAUUAAGAAGAUUUGCUGGGGCCAGCCUGAGGAAGAUGGACUCGAGCCGACCGCUGAUAUGAUGCAUAUGUACACUGAUGAAUAUAUCAUCAGGAGGAGCACUUGAGCAGGACCAAAUUGAGCCUCUCAGAACUGAUGCCGCGAUUGGGACUAUCAGUAAUAUUAUAUGAGCAGGAGAUAUCACUAUUAGCACUGGAGCAACUGGAGGCAAAAUCAGGCAGCCAAUAUUCUUCAGGUUCAGACAUUGUUCCGCAGAAGAUCGAUGGGUCGUCUGAUUGCCAAAUUCUCCGUCUCGCAUCUCCAUCGAGGUCCGAUUGAUGAUACCUAUGAUAUCAUUAGGCUGCCGAAUGAUAAUGAUAAGAUAUAUGAAUAUAUCAUUAGGCUCUGGAGGCGUCAGGCGGGGUGCACGCUGAGCCUACGACAACCGGAGGUUUGUAUGAGAUCAAGAGAAAGAAAUGAACUGGUAAUAAUUAUAGUUGACAGAAUAUAAUUUUGGUAUUGUGGGUCUUUUUUGUUUUGUUUUUUUAGAUCUUGGUAUUGUGAAGUUGUUAGUAUGGAAGAUAACUGGUGAUGAGGCCAGAGCAAAAUUA